GGUGGUAUAGUUUAAAGUAAAACGCUCAUUUCAUAAGUGAGAGAUAAGAGUUCAAAUACUUUACCGCCA
Molecule: transfer RNA, 69 nt
Filed under: Conidiobolus coronatus NRRL 28638
Lineage: Eukaryota; Fungi; Entomophthoromycota; Entomophthoromycetes; Entomophthorales; Conidiobolaceae
Rfam family: tRNA
About the family: Transfer RNA (tRNA) molecules are approximately 80 nucleotides in length. Their secondary structure includes four short double-helical elements and three loops (D, anti-codon, and T loops).
Source: Rfam by way of RNAcentral